Molecule: long non-coding RNA, 2272 nt
Filed under: Homo sapiens (human)
Lineage: Eukaryota; Metazoa; Chordata; Mammalia; Primates; Hominidae
Description: HSALNT0376122
Source: RNAcentral
UUCAAUUUUUUGUUAUGAGUUUUUAAAGAAAUGUGCAGCAAUGGCAAUGUGGAAAAAAAACACACACAGAACCUUUGGAAAGGAAAGGGCGGGGGGGUUAACUCACAGAAACUGAAAUGCACUACUUGUUUUGGGCAGGCACAGAGAAGUUGAGGAACACUGUGUAGGUGGGCCCAAAAAAUCUAUCAUCUAGGACUGGGACUAGAGAGUUCAGAGCUAAAGUCUUUCUGUCCUGCCUGAAAUGCCACUACCACUCAUGCUAAACAGGGCAGUUUUAUUCUACUCUCCCAUACAUUUAAUAGUCAAAGAAAUAUUAUCAUCGGGUUGGUGCAGAAAGCCAGAGAUUAUACUAGUUAUGUGUGUGACAGAGGGUGUAUAAGGAGAAGUGAUGAGAAAAUGAUGUCAAAAGUGAUUAGCUAUCUUCUAAAGAGUGAUGAUUGCAAUGUCAACAAAAUUCUCAUCCUGAGAAACAGCUAUACCUCCAUACCUAAUUACAAAACUGAGUCAAGUAGAACAAUCAAGUAAUAUACCUUUAUUCAUUUAUUCAUCCAUUCAUGUAUUCAUCCUACAAAUGUUUAUUGAGAACAACCUGUGUUCAAGAUAUAUUCCUAGCACUGCAGCUAUAAUCUUGAAUGAGAUGAGGACCUUGCCUUCAUGAAGCUGAUAUUCAGGUGAUAUACAAUAAAUAAGUAAACAAAUAAAUACACAAUAUAUUUCAAGAAGUGAUAAGAUUAGAAAGAAAUAUGAAGGAGGAAAGGGGGCAGAUGUUGAUAACAUGUGUUGGGGGAGGUGGGCACUCUUUCCUAUUGGGUGAUAUGUAAAGGCCAACCUGAGGAAGUGAAAUCUGAAGAGAAACAUAAAGGAAGUUAGGUGGUGAACCUUGUGAAGAUCUUAGAAAGAAUUUUCCAGAAAAAGAAUGGCAAAUAUAAAGGACUUGAAGUAGAAAUAAGCUUAUUUUCUGGCAUUAAAGCAAAAAAGGUCACUGUUGCUAGUCAGAGAAUGAAAGGAAGACAUGGUAGAAAUUAAGCAAGUGCUAGAUCAUACUAGGUUUCACAAGCUGUGGUAAUGACUUUGACUUUUGUACUGAAUGUGAUGGAAAACCAUUAGAGAUUUCUCUGUAGAGGAGAGAUAUGAACUGGUUUAAAAUUUUAAACCAAGGAUUCUGAUCUGACCAAAUAGAAGGCUGAAUAGUGACAUCAUUUGCUGAGGUGAGGAAAACCAGAAAGGAACAGGCAGAAAGGAGAAAGAAGGUAUCUAAAGUAAAUGGCCUUAUGUAUAAUCCUGAAUUAUAAGUCAUUGCAAAAGAAUCAGGCUUGUGGCUACUUCUCUGACAGAGCCAAACUCUCCAAUUCAAUUAUUCUGAGCAAAACAAACAAGGAGGGGGACCCUCUUACGGAUUAAAGACCUCUUUGUGAUAUGACUGGCCCAAUUCAAUUGCCUAAGCAUCACGUAGAAACAAUAGUUCAAUACUUCAAAGGAAAGUUUCAGAAAGGUGAUGAAAUUUAAGCUGGGCUUUAAAGGCUACAUCAAAUUUGACAAAUGGAAUUGUGAGGAAAGCACAUUAGAAGUAAAGAGUGAACCCACAAAAACAAGAGAACAUCAUGUUUCUAGAGGCUGCCUGCAUUCCUUGGCUAAUGACUUUGCAUCACUCUGACGUCUUGCUCCCAUGGUCGUAUCACCUACUACUGGCCCUGAUCUCACUACUUGUUAUAUGGAACAAAGGGAUAAGGAAGUGACUUGCCUAAGUCACUGAGGAACCUAAUAUUGAGAUUAGCACUCAAUGAUUCCUGGCUCUCAGAAUGUGUGCUGCUACCACCAGGCCACACUCUUCCCUCCAGAGAGAAGAUGUGUCAGCACGGAAUUGUGCUGAAGCAAAGAUGUGAAAUAGAAUGAUUACAUAUCUACCUAGUGGGAAGAUCUGGGGAAGAAUCUAUCAGUGCUGGCAGAGAAGCAAACCAUACGACAUCACUCAUCCCCAGAAAGUGAAGUUAAGGGAAAUAAAAAACAAUCUACACCAUUUAGAAAACACAGCCACCCCAUACCCUUGGAAAAAAUACACUAAAAUAUCUUCAUCUGAUUUGACCUCUAAUAACAUGAAUAAUUGUCUUAUAACUCACUUUCUUACCUCUUGAUUAUUCUACAGAUCCGGCACAUAUGAGCAAAAUCUGAUGAAAUUCACUCAUUUAAUUUGAAGAUUUUAAUUAUGUAGAAAAAGUAGGUUCGCAUUCUUUCUUAUUAAUAGAGUUCAAAAGACUUAAGGCCUAGAGUCUAG